AUACGGAGGAUCCAAGCGUUAUCCGGAUUUAUUGGGUUUAAAGGGUGCGUAGGCGGGGAAUCAAGUCAGCGGUGAAAGUUUGCGGCUCAACCGUAAAAUUGCCGUUGAAACUGGUUCUCUUGAGUGUAGAUGAGGUGGGUGGAAUUCGUGGUGUAGCGGUGAAAUGCUUAGAUAUCACGAAGAACUCCAAUUGCGUAGGCAGCUCACUGGGCUACAACUGACGCUGAGGCACGAAGGUGCGGGGAUCAAACAGGAUUAGAUACCCUGGUAGUCCGCACAGUAAACGAUGAAUACUAGCUGUUGGCGAUACACAGCCAGUGGCACAGCGAAAGCGUUAAGUAUUCCACCUGGGGAGUACGUUCGCAAGAAUGAA
Molecule: ribosomal RNA, 373 nt
Filed under: uncultured bacterium
Lineage: Bacteria
Description: bacterial SSU rRNA
Rfam family: Bacterial small subunit ribosomal RNA
Source: RNAcentral